RNAcentral lists this ribosomal RNA (532 nucleotides) under Bifidobacterium breve. Its description in RNAcentral is "bacterial SSU rRNA". It matches the Rfam family "Bacterial small subunit ribosomal RNA", at positions 158 to 700 of the family's 1533-position model. Lineage: Bacteria; Bacillati; Actinomycetota; Actinomycetes; Bifidobacteriales; Bifidobacteriaceae. The record is from RNAcentral.
GGGUGGUAAUGCCGGAUGCUCCAUCACACUGCAUGGUGUGUUGGGAAAGCCUUUGCGGCAUGGGAUGGGGUCGCGUCCUAUCAGCUUGAUGGCGGGGUAACGGCCCACCAUGGCUUCGACGGGUAGCCGGCCUGAGAGGGCGACCGGCCACAUUGGGACUGAGAUACGGCCCAGACUCCUACGGGAGGCAGCAGUGGGGAAUAUUGCACAAUGGGCGCAAGCCUGAUGCAGCGACGCCGCGUGAGGGAUGGAGGCCUUCGGGUUGUAAACCUCUUUUGUUAGGGAGCAAGGCAUUUUGUGUUGAGUGUACCUUUCGAAUAAGCACCGGCUAACUACGUGCCAGCAGCCGCGGUAAUACGUAGGGUGCAAGCGUUAUCCGGAAUUAUUGGGCGUAAAGGGCUCGUAGGCGGUUCGUCGCGUCCGGUGUGAAAGUCCAUCGCUUAACGGUGGAUCCGCGCCGGGUACGGGCGGGCUUGAGUGCGGUAGGGGAGACUGGAAUUCCCGGUGUAACGGUGGAAUGUGUAGAUAUCGG